CUUAUUCAUGCUCUGAAGCAGUUUUCUUCAUACACUGACGGCCUUGGCCGUGUUCAUAGUUCUAUAUUUACUAGUAUUCAUGGGAGCAUGAAUGUAUGGUGAGGGGCUUGGAUGAAGAGGAGUGAUGAGAACAAGCAACUCCUAAUUGCAGCCCUUAUUAAGGCCGAACCAUUGCUCGUAUUUGAUUGAAAUCCACUUUUUUUGCUGGACCGGGCUUGCAGAUUAAGGCCGAAUUUGAUUGAAAUCCACUUUUUUGGUGGACCGGGCUUGUAGAUUAAGGCCGAAAGUCUCCCAGCGGGUGAUGUUCCCAUUGUCAUUUCCAUUGCUCGUAUUUGAACCAUUGCUCGUAUUUGAUUGAAAUCCACUUUUUUUGCUGGACCGGGCUUGCAGAUUAAGGCCGAAAGUCUCCUAGCGAGUGAUGUUCUAUGUUCUCACUGUCAUUUCCAUUACUCGUAUUUGAACCAUUGCUCGUAUUUGAUUGAAAUCUACUUUUUUGCUGGACCGGGCCUACAGAUAAAGGCCGGAAGUCUGCUCGUAUUUGAUUGAAAUCCUCUUUUUUUGCUGGACCGGGCUUGCAGAUUAAGGCCGAAAGUCUCCCAGCGGAUUAAGGCCGAAAGUCUCCCAGCGGAUUAAGGCCGAAAGUCUCACAGCGGGUGAUGUUCUCACUGUCAUUUCCAUUGCUCGGUUCUCACUGUCAUUUCCAUUGCUCGUAUUUGAUUGAAAUCCAAUCAUGCUCGUAUAUUCACAUAUCACUCACCAA
This is a long non-coding RNA of Salvia splendens (bonfire salvia), 760 nucleotides long. RefSeq lists it as uncharacterized. Lineage: Eukaryota; Viridiplantae; Streptophyta; Magnoliopsida; Lamiales; Lamiaceae. The transcript is spliced from 5 exons. The record is from RefSeq and is a predicted model, not a curated record.